Molecule: ribosomal RNA, 450 nt
Filed under: uncultured bacterium
Lineage: Bacteria
Description: partial 16S ribosomal RNA
Rfam family: Bacterial small subunit ribosomal RNA
Source: RNAcentral
GUGGGGAAUAUUGGACAAUGGGCGAAAGCCUGAUCCAGCCAUGCCGCGUGUGUGAAGAAGGUCUUCGGAUUGUAAAGCACUUUAAGUUGGGAGGAAGGGUAGUAACCUAAUACGUUGCUACUUUGACGUUACCGACAGAAUAAGCACCGGCUAACUUCGUGCCAGCAGCCGCGGUAAUACGAAGGGUGCAAGCGUUAAUCGGAAUUACUGGCCGUAAAGCGCGCGUAGGUGGUUCAGUAAGUUGGAAGUGAAAUCCCCGGGCUCAACCUGGGAACUGCUGUCAAAACUGCUGAGAUAGAGUACGGUAGUGGGUGGUGGAAUUACCUGUGGAGCGGUGAAAUGCGUAGGUAUAGGAAGGAACACCAGUGGCGAAGGCGACUACCUGGACUGAUACUGACACUGAGGUGCGAAAGCGUGGGGAGCAAACAGGAUUAGAAACCCGGGUAGUCC